GAUGAAGAACGCAGCGAAAUGCGAUAAGUAAUGUGAAUUGCAGAAUUCAGUGAAUCAUCGAAUCUUUGAACGCACAUUGCGCCCGCCAGUAUUCUGGCGGGCAUGCCUGUUCGAGCGUCAUUUCAACCAUCAAGCCCCCGGCUUGUGUUGGGGACCUGCGGCUGCCGCAGGCCCUGAAAACCAGUGGCGGGCUCGCUGUCACACCGAGCGUAGUAGAUUUUCAUCUCGCUCAGGGCGUGCUGCGGGUUCCGGCCGUAAAAAGCCUUAUUUACCCAAGGUUGACCUCGGAUCAGGUAGGAAGACCCGCUGAACUUAAGCAUAUCAAUAAGCGGAGA
RNAcentral lists this unclassified non-coding RNA (335 nucleotides) under soil metagenome. Its description in RNAcentral is "partial contains 5.8S ribosomal RNA, internal transcribed spacer 2, and large subunit ribosomal RNA". The stretch from base 1 to 120 matches the Rfam family "5.8S ribosomal RNA", at positions 35 to 154 of the family's 154-position model. The record is from RNAcentral.